GAUGAAGAACGUAGCGAAAUGCGAUACGUAAUGUGAAUUGCAGAAUUCAGUGAAUCAUCGAGUCUUUGAACGCACAUUGCGCCCGCUAGUAUUCUGGCGGGCAUGCCUGUCCGAGCGUCAUUUCAACCCUCAAGCCCCCGGGCUUGGUGUUGGGGAUCGGCGAGCCUCCGCGCCCGCCGUCCCCUAAAUCUAGUGGCGGUCUCGCUGUAGCUUCCUCUGCGUAGUAGCACACCUCGCACUGGGAAACAGCGCGGCCACGCCGUUAAACCCCCAACUUCUGAACGUUUGACCUCGGAUCAGGUAGGAAUACCCGCUGAACUUAAGCAUAUCAAUAAGCGGAGGA
RNAcentral lists this unclassified non-coding RNA (343 nucleotides) under soil metagenome. Its description in RNAcentral is "partial contains 5.8S ribosomal RNA, internal transcribed spacer 2, and large subunit ribosomal RNA". The stretch from base 1 to 120 matches the Rfam family "5.8S ribosomal RNA", at positions 35 to 154 of the family's 154-position model. The record is from RNAcentral.